This 142-nucleotide unclassified non-coding RNA is filed under the name uncultured fungus. RNAcentral describes it as "sequence contains ITS1". The record is from RNAcentral. Lineage: Eukaryota; Fungi.
CCGAGCAGCGGCCCGCGAGGGUCGACGACUCCCGUCCUCUGCCUUCAGGAUGCCACGCUUCGCUUCGGCGGGGGAACCCGCCGGCGGACGUUUUAAAACGCCUGUUCUAACGGUGCAGUCCGAGGCGAAAUAAAUAAGACCA